This 515-nucleotide ribosomal RNA is filed under the name uncultured bacterium. RNAcentral describes it as "partial 16S ribosomal RNA". It matches the Rfam family "Bacterial small subunit ribosomal RNA", at positions 28 to 523 of the family's 1533-position model. The record is from RNAcentral.
GAUGAACGCUGGCGGCGUGCCUAAUACAUGCAAGUCGAGCGAAUGGAUUAAGAGCUUGCUCUUAUGAAGUUAGCGGCGGACGGGUGAGUAACACGUGGGUAACCUGCCCAUAAGACUGGGAUAACUCCGGGAAACCGGGGCUAAUACCGGAUAACAUUUUGAACCGCAUGGUUCGAAAUUGAAAGGCGGCUUCGGCUGUCACUUAUGGAUGGACCCGCGUCGCAUUAGCUAGUUGGUGAGGUAACGGCUCACCAAGGAAACGAUGCGUAGCCGACCUGGGAGGGUGAUCGGCCACACUGGGAUUGAGACACGGCCCAGACUCCUACGGGAGGCAGCAGUAGGGAAUCUUCCGCAAUGGACGAAAGUCUGACGGAGCAACGCCGCGUGAGUGAUGAAGGCUUUCGGGUCGUAAAACUCUGUUGUUAGGGAAGAACAAGUGCUAGUUGAAUAAGCUGGCACCUUGACGGUACCUAACCAGAAAGCCACGGCUAACUACGUGCCAGCCGCCGCAGUAA